Molecule: ribosomal RNA, 402 nt
Filed under: uncultured bacterium
Lineage: Bacteria
Description: partial 16S ribosomal RNA
Rfam family: Bacterial small subunit ribosomal RNA
Source: RNAcentral
UGGGGAAUAUUGGACAAUGGGCGAAAGCCUGAUCCAGCCAUGCCGCAUGAGUGAAGAAGGCCUUUGGGUUGUAAAGCUCUUUUAGUGAGGAAGAUAAUGACGGUACUCACAGAAGAAGUCCUGGCUAACUCCGUGCCAGCAGCCGCGGUAAUACGGAGAGGGCUAGCGUUAUUCGGAAUUAUUGGGCGUAAAGGGCGCGUAGGCUGGUUAAUAAGUUAAAAGUGAAAUCCCGAGGCUUAACCCUGGAAUUGCUUUUAAAACUAUUAAUCUAGAGAUUGAAAGAGGAUAGAGGAAUUCCUGAUGUAGAGGUAAAAUUCGUAAAUAUUAGGAGGAACACCGGUGGCGAAGGCGUCUAUCUGGUUCAAAUCUGACGCUGAAGCGCGAAGGCGUGGGGAGCAAACA